GACAGGGUCUCACUAAGUCGUCCAAGUUGACUUCAUACUUGCGAUCCUCCUGCCUCAGCCUCCUGAGUAGUUGGAAUUGCAGGUGUGUACCUCCACUCCUGGCUGACUGGACUUCUAAAAAUUAAGGUGGAAUGUAUAUCAUCUAGGUGACUGGAAAAAAAACCAGUAAAUUUAAAAAUAAGUCUCAUUGUGAGAACAGUGAACCGGAGUAUCACGGAGGAAGGCAGCUAACCCAGGAGAAGUGAGGGCUUCGGGCUGCUCUCAACGCUGAGUUUUCACAUGAAACCUUAUGGGUUUUAAAGGUGGAGAGCAAUUGAUUAAAGGACCUUGAGCGGAUGUUGGUGAGAAUGUGGCCACAUUAGGAUGUUGAAAGAAGAUGGGGCUUUGACACCUGCCAGCCUUGGACAUGCAGGUUGUAACCUGAACAAAACUGUUUUCCGACCCUGCCUUGCUCAUCACAGAUGUUAAGGUCCAAAGAAGGCCCAGCACCGGGUGGAAGACAGAUGGAGAGCACAGCAGGAAGCCUGGGCCCAGUCAGAGAGGUGAGGGGAGCCCCUCCACCUUCCACCCGGUGACUUACGCGGGAGGAUAGGAGACAGCGGACUUGGUGGCAUUCCUGCUGGUGGCUCCCGGCACUGCAUCCUGCAGCUGGGUGCUCCUCUGUGUCUGAGUUCCCUGUUCUGAGAAUUGGUUGGUGUGAAGCGAGAGUGUCCAGCGUGGCAUCUUCCUUGAUGAUCGUCCUCUGGUUAAGCUGUGUUAACUGUGUUCAUGGGACAGAGAAAACCUGUGACUGAAUGAAAUGUACAGAGGUCUGUACCCCGAAAACCCUGGCCUAGUUUUACUCCCCUCUCUGCUCUCUAAUAUUUCACUGCACCGUUUCUGUCACUCCAGGGGCCUUUGGGACAGUGGCUACUUCUCACCUUGGCACAUAAACACCUGCUUUUCCUUCUACAGAGCAGCACCCUCAUUACCACAUACUCCAGUGUACAAACCAGCUGAGUUCUCUGACACUAGGCAUGCUAUUUCAUGGUUCUGGGCUUGUAUAGUCUGGUCAAUAUUAUCAGCUGUCUACUGUGUGCCAGGCGCUGUGCUAAACAGUAUGACCCCUCCUCAGAGCAUCCUGUUGAAGUCUUGGUUGUUGUCUCCAUACAAGAGAGGACUGAGGUUCAAAGAAAUGAAAUAAUUCGCCUAGGUUCACACAGCUAAGUGACAGAGUUGGGAUGGGAAUGCAGGUUUAACUCCAAAGCCUGAUUUUUCUUGUUAAAAUAUAGAAAAAAAUGUAUCAAUUAGCCUUUUUAAAGUGUAUUAUUCUGCAGCAUUAAAUACAUUCACUUUGUUAGGCAGCUAUCACUACCAUCCAUAUUCAGAAUUUAACUUUUCCCAUCUAAGACUCUGUAUCCAUCAGACACCAACUUCCCAUUUCCCCUCCCUGGAGUCCCUGGAACUACCCUCCUAAUCUUGUCUAUGGAUUUGACUGCUCCAGCUAGCUUGUGUAAGUACAAUCAACCAAAUUUGUCCUUUUGUGACUGGCUUAUUUUAUUGAGCUACUAGUAUUUUAUCUUUGAUCACUACCCAGGCUGGCAGCUGGCAGGUGUCUUUGCUGUAAAGUUAUUCUUUAUUCUCCUCGUAAAAAUAAAUAUCUUUGAGUCA
Marmota monax (woodchuck) is the source of this 1650-nucleotide long non-coding RNA. RefSeq lists it as uncharacterized. The record is from RefSeq and is a predicted model, not a curated record. Lineage: Eukaryota; Metazoa; Chordata; Mammalia; Rodentia; Sciuridae. The transcript has 2 exons.